This 334-nucleotide long non-coding RNA is filed under the name Vitis vinifera (wine grape). RNAcentral's name for it is "long non-coding RNA (VVIN_LNC004627)". Lineage: Eukaryota; Viridiplantae; Streptophyta; Magnoliopsida; Vitales; Vitaceae. The record is from RNAcentral.
AUGGAUCCAUAUGUGGUGACUUCCAUGAUCGCGGAGACCACCAUCCUAUGGAAGCCAUAAGUGUUUCCAGAUGUUGCCGUUGUUCCAGGGGAUAAAAUUUGAGUCAGUCAGUUGUGUUAUUUUGGUGCUGUGUCUCAUUGUUUGCCCUUGUAUUUGAGGUAGCAAGGGGGGUGGGUUUAUGGCCCCCUUGCCUGAUCAUUUCGCCUCUUGUUAAAAUAACCAUUACCUUAGCAUUAAUAACGACAUUUGAAGGCCUGGCUUCUAUUGUUGCAACUUGGAAGGGUUAAAUUUGUUUCUUUGCUUUAUCUGUGUUUGUCUUCUUUUAAGUCGUAUG